Rhineura floridana is the source of this 1345-nucleotide RNA transcript. It is a transcript of the gene named sulfotransferase family 4A member 1, with no coding region annotated. NCBI's taxonomy places the organism in Eukaryota, Metazoa, Chordata, Lepidosauria, Squamata, Rhineuridae. The transcript is spliced from 8 exons. The record is from RefSeq and is a predicted model, not a curated record.
GUCGGGCUCUUUCUCCCUCUCAUGCGAGGGGAAAGCAGCACCUUCCCCAGCCUGCAAACCUCUCCGUUUGUAUCAUCCGCGGGCACGCCUGUUCGUUAUUUGUGAAAGUGGGGGAGUGCGAAAGGCAGGAAGCGGGUGGCAUCGUGGUUGAUUCCUCUCCUCUGGCCUCUUCAGGAUCCUUGAUGCACCUUGGCCUCUGCUGGGCUGCAACGGAGGAAGAAGGAGGAUGGCGGAAAGCGAAUGCGAGACCCCCAGCACUCCAGGGGAAUUUGAGAGCAAAUACUUUGAAUACAAUGGGGUGCGUCUGCCCCCUUUCUGCAGGGGAAAGAUGGAAGAAAUCGCCAAUUUUCCAGUGAGAGACAAUGAUGUCUGGAUUGUUACCUAUCCCAAAUCAGGCACCAGUUUAUUGCAGGAAGUAGUAUAUUUGGUGAGCCAAGGAGCUGAUCCUGAUGAAAUUGGAUUAAUGAACAUAGAUGAGCAGCUUCCAGUCCUAGAGUAUCCUCAACCUGGACUGGACAUUAUCAAGGAGCUUACAUCUUCCCGCCUCAUUAAAAGCCACCUGCCAUAUCGUUUUUUGCCUUCAGAUUUACACAGUGGUAAUUCCAAGGUAAUCUACAUGGCUCGCAACCCCAAAGAUCUGGUGGUAUCUUAUUACCAGUUUCACCGCUCCCUACGUACCAUGAGCUACAGAGGAACAUUUCAAGAGUUCUGUCGGAGAUUCAUGAAUGAAAAGUUAGGGUAUGGCUCAUGGUUUGAGCAUGUGCAGGAAUUCUGGCAACAUCACAUGGACUCAAAUGUACUCUUUCUCAAGUAUGAAGAUAUGCACAAGGACCUUGCAACUAUGGUUGAACAGCUGGUGAGGUUCCUGGGUGUCUCUUACGACAAAGCACAAUUAGAAUCCAUGGUGGAACAUUGUCACCAGCUCAUCGACCAGUGCUGCAAUGCAGAAGCUCUUCCUGUUGGCAGGGCUCAUUGACCUUUACUCAGAAGAUAACCCUCAGUUGCUGUGAAAGCAGGCCAUUGGUUAGCUUAUGUUCCUUACAUUUGCUUCAUGCCCCAACACAAAUCACAGUUUCAUGAAUCAAAUCAUGAACUCAGGACGAGUUGGACUAUGGAAGGACAUCUUCACUGUCUCCAUGAAUGAGAAAUUUGAUUUAGUUUACAAACAGAAAAUGGGGAAGUGUGACCUCACAUUUGACUUUUCUUUAUAAAAACAAAACAAACAUAAAUGCAUGUCUCUGAUAUCAAGAUCCUAGCUAGAAGUGCUUUCUGCGUUCAUUUAUUACUUGCUGGACACAAGACUGUACCUGUUAUGUGUAUCAAUAUUUUUUAAAAGGCACCAUGC